RNAcentral lists this ribosomal RNA (2918 nucleotides) under Acinetobacter baumannii. RNAcentral describes it as "bacterial LSU rRNA". It matches the Rfam family "Bacterial large subunit ribosomal RNA". The record is from RNAcentral. Lineage: Bacteria; Pseudomonadati; Pseudomonadota; Gammaproteobacteria; Moraxellales; Moraxellaceae. RNAcentral also lists the same sequence under 1 other name.
GUUGUAUAGUCAAGUAAUUAAGUGCAUGUGGUGGAUGCCUUGGCAGUCAGAGGCGAUGAAAGACGUGAUAGCCUGCGAAAAGCUCCGGGGAGGCGGCAAAUAUCCUUUGAUCCGGAGAUGUCUGAAUGGGGGAACCCACCUACUUUAAGGUAGGUAUUGCAACAUGAAUACAUAGUGUUGCAAGGCGAACGAGGGGAAGUGAAACAUCUCAGUACCCUUAGGAAAAGAAAUCAAUUGAGAUUCCCUCAGUAGCGGCGAGCGAACGGGGAUCAGCCCAUUAAGUUAUGUGUGUUUUAGUGGAACGCUCUGGGAAGUGCGAACGUAGAGGGUGAUAUUCCCGUACACGAAAGGGCACACAUAAUGAUGACGAGUAGGGCGAGGCACGUGAAACCUUGUCUGAAUAUGGGGGGACCAUCCUCCAAGGCUAAAUACUCCUGACUGACCGAUAGUGAACCAGUACCGUGAGGGAAAGGCGAAAAGAACCCCUGUGAGGGGAGUGAAAUAGAUCCUGAAACCGCAUGCAUACAAGCAGUGGGAGCACCUUCGUGGUGUGACUGCGUACCUUUUGUAUAAUGGGUCAGCGACUUAUAUUCAGUAGCGAGGUUAACCGUAUAGGGGAGCCGUAGAGAAAUCGAGUCUUAAUAGGGCGUUUAGUUGCUGGGUAUAGACCCGAAACCAGGCGAUCUAUCCAUGAGCAGGUUGAAGGUUGGGUAACACUAACUGGAGGACCGAACCCACUGUCGUUGAAAAGCCAGGGGAUGACUUGUGGAUAGGGGUGAAAGGCUAAUCAAGCCUGGUGAUAGCUGGUUCUCCCCGAAAGCUAUUUAGGUAGCGCCUCGGACGAAUACCAUAGGGGGUAGAGCACUGUUUCGGCUAGGGGGUCAUCCCGACUUACCAAACCGAUGCAAACUCCGAAUACCUAUGAGUACUAUCCGGGAGACAGACUGCGGGUGCUAACGUCCGUAGUCAAGAGGAAAACAAUCCAGACCGCCAGCUAAGGCCCCAAAAUCAUAGUUAAGUGGGAAACGAUGUGGGAAGGCAUAGACAGCUAGGAGGUUGGCUUAGAAGCAGCCACCCUUUAAAGAAAGCGUAAUAGCUCACUAGUCGAGUCGGCCUGCGCGGAAGAUGUAACGGGGCUAAAACUAUGUGCCGAAGCUGCGGAUGUAUACUUUGUAUACGUGGUAGGGGAGCGUUCUGUAAGCCGAUGAAGGUGUGUUGAGAAGCAUGCUGGAGGUAUCAGAAGUGCGAAUGCUGACGUGAGUAACGACAAAACGGGUGAAAAACCCGUUCGCCGAAAGACCAAGGGUUCCAGUCCAACGUUAAUCGGGGCUGGGUGAGUCGACCCCUAAGGCGAGGCCGAAAGGCGUAGUCGAUGGGAAAAUGGUUAAUAUUCCAUUACUUCUGUGUAAUGCGAUGAGAGGACGGAGAAGGCUAAAUCAGCCUGGCGUUGGUUGUCCAGGUGAAAGGAAGUAGGCAUGUAUCUUAGGCAAAUCCGGGGUACUCUAUGCUGAGAUCUGAUAGCAAGCUGUACUUGUACAGCGAAGUGGUUGAUGCCAUGCUUCCAGGAAAAGUCUCUAAGCUUCAGUUACACAGGAAUCGUACCCGAAACCGACACAGGUGGUCAGGUCGAGUAGACCAAGGCGCUUGAGAGAACUCUGCUGAAGGAACUAGGCAAAAUGGUACCGUAACUUCGGGAGAAGGUACGCUGUUGUUGGUGAUGGAACUCGCUUCCUGAGCUGACGACAGCCGCAGAAACCAGGCCGCUGCAACUGUUUAUUAAAAACAUAGCACUCUGCAAACACGAAAGUGGACGUAUAGGGUGUGAUGCCUGCCCGGUGCUGGAAGGUUAAUUGAUGGGGUUAGCGUAAGCGAAGCUCUUGAUCGAAGCCCCAGUAAACGGCGGCCGUAACUAUAACGGUCCUAAGGUAGCGAAAUUCCUUGUCGGGUAAGUUCCGACCUGCACGAAUGGCAUAAUGAUGGCGGCGCUGUCUCCAGCAGAGGCUCAGUGAAAUCGAAAUCGCUGUGAAGAUGCAGUGUACCCGCGGCUAGACGGAAAGACCCCGUGAACCUUUACUGCAGCUUGACACUGAACUUUGACCUUACUUGUGUAGGAUAGGUGGGAGGCUUUGAAGCUGGAACGCUAGUUCCAGUGGAGCCGUCCUUGAAAUACCACCCUGGUAAUGUUGAGGUUCUAACUCUGUCCCGUGAUCCGGGACGAGGACCGUGUCUGGUGGGUAGUUUGACUGGGGCGGUCUCCUCCUAAAGAGUAACGGAGGAGUACGAAGGUGCGCUCAGCGUGGUCGGAAAUCACGCGUAGAGUAUAAAGGCAAAAGCGCGCUUAACUGCGAGACCCACAAGUCGAGCAGGUACGAAAGUAGGUCUUAGUGAUCCGGUGGUUCUGUAUGGAAGGGCCAUCGCUCAACGGAUAAAAGGUACUCUGGGGAUAACAGGCUGAUACCGCCCAAGAGUUCAUAUCGACGGCGGUGUUUGGCACCUCGAUGUCGGCUCAUCUCAUCCUGGGGCUGAAGCAGGUCCCAAGGGUAUGGCUGUUCGCCAUUUAAAGAGGUACGCGAGCUGGGUUUAGAACGUCGUGAGACAGUUCGGUCCCUAUCUACCGUGGGCGCUGGAAAUUUGAGAGGAUCUGCUCCUAGUACGAGAGGACCAGAGUGGACGAACCUCUGGUGUACCGGUUGUGACGCCAGUCGCAUCGCCGGGUAGCUAUGUUCGGAAGGGAUAACCGCUGAAAGCAUCUAAGCGGGAAGCCUACCUCAAGAUAAGAUUUCCCUAGGACUUUAUGUCCUCUAAAGAGCCGUUCGAGACUAGGACGUUGAUAGGUUGGAUGUGGAAGCAUAGUGAUAUGUGAAGCUGACCAAUACUAAUUGCUCGUGAGGCUUGACUAUACAACACCCAAGCAGUUG